GAUGAACGCUAGCUACAGGCUUAACACAUGCAAGUCGCGGGGCAGCAUGGGGGUUGCUUGCAAUCCCCGAUGGCGACCGGCGCACGGGUGAGUAACGCGUAUUCAACCUGCCCUUCACCACGGGAUAACCCGGCGAAAGUCGGACUAAUACCGUAUGUUGUCCAUUGACGGCCUCCGAUUUGGACGAAAGGCUUGGCGGUGAGGGAUGGGGAUGCGUCCGAUUAGCCAGACGGCGGGGUAACGGCCCACCGUGGCUACGAUCGGUAGGGGUUCUGAGAGGAAGGUCCCCCACACUGGAACUGAGACACGGUCCAGACUCCUACGGGAGGCAGCAGUGAGGAAUAUUGGUCAAUGGGCGUAAGCCUGAACCAGCCAAGCAGCGUGCAGGAUGACGGCCCUAUGGGUUGUAAACUGCUUUUAUGCGGGGAUAAAGUGGCCCACGUGUGGGCUUUUGCAGGUACCGCAUGAAUAAGGACCGGCUAAUUCCGUG
This 490-nucleotide ribosomal RNA is filed under the name uncultured bacterium. RNAcentral's name for it is "partial 16S ribosomal RNA". It matches the Rfam family "Bacterial small subunit ribosomal RNA", at positions 28 to 507 of the family's 1533-position model. The record is from RNAcentral.